GGGGGGGGGGGGGGGGGGGGGGGGGGGGGGGGGGGGGGGGGGGGGGGGGGGUGGGGGGCACGGGGGGGGGGCUGGAAAGGGGCUGGAAGGGGGCUUGGGGUGCGGGCAGGGUACGAGUAGGGUGCUCGGGGUGCUGGGAGGGUGCUCAGGGUGCUGGGAGGGUGCUGGGGGUGCCGGGAGGGUGCUCAGGGUGCUCUCAGGGUGCUGGGGCUGCAGGCAGGGUGCUCAGGGUGCUGAGGGCAGGGUGCUCAGGGUGCAAGUAGGGUGCUCGGGGUGCAGGCAGGGUGCUCUCAGGGCAUAAAUUGGGUGCUCAGGGUGCAAAGAGGAUGCUCAGGGUGCUGGCAGGGUGCUCUCAGGGUGCAAGUAGGGUAUUGAGGGUGCAGGGAGGGCCCAGGCAGGGUGCUCAGGGUGCUCAGGGUGCAGGUAGGGUGCACUCAGGGCAUAAGUUGGGUGCUCAGGGUGCAGACAAGGUGCUGGCAGGGUGCUCAGGGUGCAGUCAGGGUGCAAGUAGGGUGCUCAGGGUGCUCAGGGUGCUGGCUGAGUCAGGCAGGGUGCUCAGGGUGCAGGUAGGGUGCACUCAGGACACAAGUUGGGUGCUCAGGGUGCAAAGAGGGUGCUCAGGGUGCUGGCAGGGUGCUCUCAGGGUGCUGUCUGGGUACAGGCAGUGUGCUUAGGGUGCAGGUAGGGUGCUUAGGGUGCUGGCUGGGUGCUGGAAGGCGUGGGCAGGGUGCUCAGGGUGCAGUCAGGGUGCAAGCAGGGUGCAGACAGGGUGCUCAGGGUGCAAAGAGGGUGCUAAGGGUGCUCUCAGGGUGCUGGCUGGGUACAGGCAGUGUGCUCAGGGUGCUGCUGGCUGGGUGCUCAGGGUGCUGGCUGGGUGCUCAGGGUGCUGGCUGGGUGCUGGAAGGGCGUGGGCAGGGUGCACCCAGGGUGUAGGCAGGGUGCUCAGGGUGCUCAGGGUGCGGGCAGGGUGUGAGCAGGGUGCUUGGGGUGCUGGCAGGGUGCUGGCAGGGUGCAAGUAGGGUGCUCAGGGUGCAGCCAGGGCGCACUCAGAGCACAAUUAGGGUGCUCAGGGUGCAGGUAGGGUGCCGGCAGGGUGCACUCAGAGCACAAUUAGGGUGCUCAGGGUGCAGGUAGGGCACGCUCAGGGUGCGGGCAGGGUGCUCAGGAUGCAAGUAGGGUGCUCAGGGUGCUGGCUGGGUGCACCCAGGGCACAAGGAGGCUGCUGGGGGUGCUGAGGUCAGGGUGCUGGGGGUGCUGGCAGGGUGCUGAGGGUGCUGGGUGCUCACCCACGCACUGCAGGUGCUCCUGCUCGUAGUAGUAGCCGCUGGGGCAGUAGCAGCUGAAGCCGGGGGCGGCGUUGAUGCAGACCCCCCCCCGGCACAGCUGCGGCGCAAACACCCGGCACUCGUCCACGUCUGGGGGGUGUGGGGGGCGCGACGUCAGGGGGAGGGUCCCCGGAAUCGGGGGGGGCACCCCCGAAAUGGGGGAGCCCCUAUAUAGGAGGGGAACCCCAAAAUUGGGGGAUAUUGCCCCCAAAUUGGGGGAUAUUGACCCCAAAAUAAGGGGGAUUCACCCAAAAAGGGGGGGGGGGGUAACCCCCCAAAAUAGGGGGGCAUCCCCAAAUUGAGAGGGCACCCCAAAAAAUGGGGACAUCCCCAAAAUGGGAGGGGUGAGUCCCCCAAAUGGGGGCCAUUCCCAAAUUAGGGGGGGUGAGUCCCCAAAAUGGGGGGCAUCCCAUAAACGGGGGAGCCCCAAAACAGGGGUGGCAUCCCCAAAAUGGGGGGUUAUCCCCCAAAUGGGCAGGGGCAACCCCAAACUGGGGGGGGGCAUCCCCAAAAUUAGGGAACCCCUAAAUACAGGGGGAGCCCCUGAGUAGGGGGGGAGGCCCUAAAUGGAGGGAGCCCCCAAAUGGGGGGGCCCCAUCGCUGUGCCCCCCCCCCCCCCUGGCCGCACUGACCUGCUGCUGAGCCCUGGGGCCCCGUGGUCUGGCCGGUCCCGUGGGGGCAGAGGGCUCGGUGCUCGGCUUGGGGGGGGGACAGCGGCGUCACCCCCCUGCACCUUGGCACCAUCCUGACCCCAUCCCCAGCCCAUCCCUGUCCCCAUCCACACCCCGAUCCCAAUCCCAUCCCAUCCCAGUCCUAAUCCCUAGCAACCCCUACCCCAGUCCCAAUCCCCUUCCAAUCCCAUCCCCAUCCCAAAUCCCAUCACCACCCCAAACCCAUCCCAAUCCCUUCCCACCCCAAUCCCAAUCCCAUCCUCCUCCCAUCCCAAUCCCAAUCCCAAUCCCUUCCCAUCCCAUCCCAUCCCAUUCCAUCCCAGUCCCAAUCCCAAUCCCAAUCCCAAUUUCAAUCUCAAUCCCAUCACCAUCCCCAUCCCAAUUCCAUCCCCACCCUCCCAAUCCCAUCCCAAUCCCAUCCCAAUCCUAAUCCUAUCUCCAUCCCAAUCCCAUCCCAUCCCAGUCCCAACUGCAACUCCAAUCCCAUCACCAUCCCAUCCCAUCCCACUCCAAUCCCAUCCCAUCCCAGUCUCAUCCCCAUCCCUUCCCAUCCCAGUCCUAAUCCCAUCCCCUUCCCCUUCCCCAUCCCCAAUCCCCAUCCCCAUCCCCAAUCCCAAUCCCAUCCCCAAUCCCCAU
Long non-coding RNA from Cairina moschata (Muscovy duck), 2632 nucleotides. Lineage: Eukaryota; Metazoa; Chordata; Aves; Anseriformes; Anatidae. The record is from Ensembl.